RNAcentral lists this non-coding RNA (152 nucleotides) under Halobacillus mangrovi. Its description in RNAcentral is "FMN sequence". It matches the Rfam family "FMN riboswitch aptamer (RFN element)". From Rfam's summary of the family: The RFN element is a highly conserved domain that is found frequently in the 5'-untranslated regions of prokaryotic mRNAs that encode for flavin mononucleotide (FMN) biosynthesis and transport proteins. This element is a metabolite-dependent riboswitch that directly binds FMN in the absence of proteins. The record is from RNAcentral. Lineage: Bacteria; Bacillati; Bacillota; Bacilli; Caryophanales; Bacillaceae.
AUUUUCCUUCGGGGUCGGGUGAAAGUCCCAGCCGGCGGUAAUGAACAGUUUGUUCCGAGCCCGCGACGGGGAGUGAGUGUGAAGCACCAUUCCCCCUGAUUUGGUGCAUAUUCCAAAGCCGACAGUGAAAGUCUGGAUGGGAGAAGGAUGUG